GAUGAACGCUGGCGGCGUGCCUAAUACAUGCGAGUCGAGCGAACAGACGAGGAGCUUGCUCCUUCGACGUUAGCGGCGGACGGGUGAGUAACACGUAGGUAACCUACCUAUAAGACUGGGAUAACUUCGGGAAACCGGAGCUAAUACCGGAUAAUAUUUCGAACCGCAUGGUUCGAUAGUGAAAGAUGGCUUUGCUAUCACUUAUAGAUGGACCUGCGCCGUAUUAGCUAGUUGGUAAGGUAACGGCUUACCAAGGCAACGAUACGUAGCCGACCUGAGAGGGUGAUCGGCCACACUGGAACUGAGACACGGUCCAGACUCCUACGGGAGGCAGCAGUAGGGAAUCUUCCGCAAUGGGCGAAAGCCUGACGGAGCAACGCCGCGUGAGUGAUGAAGGUCUUCGGAUCGUAAAACUCUGUUAUUAGGGAAGAACAAACGUGUAAGUAACUGUGCGCGUCUUGACGGUACCUAAUCAGAAAGCCACGGCUAACUACGUG
Molecule: ribosomal RNA, 497 nt
Filed under: uncultured bacterium
Lineage: Bacteria
Description: partial 16S ribosomal RNA
Rfam family: Bacterial small subunit ribosomal RNA
Source: RNAcentral